UGCUGGGUAGCUCAGUUGGUAGAGCACUUGCCCGAGGAAGGCAGAGGUCCCGAGUUCGAGUCUCGGUCCGGCAC
This 74-nucleotide transfer RNA is filed under the name Schistocerca americana (American grasshopper). RNAcentral's name for it is "tRNA-Pro". It matches the Rfam family "tRNA". From Rfam's summary of the family: Transfer RNA (tRNA) molecules are approximately 80 nucleotides in length. Their secondary structure includes four short double-helical elements and three loops (D, anti-codon, and T loops). Further hydrogen bonds mediate the characteristic L-shaped molecular structure. tRNAs have two regions of fundamental functional importance: the anti-codon, which is responsible for specific mRNA codon recognition, and the 3' end, to which the tRNAs corresponding amino acid is attached (by aminoacyl-tRNA synthetases). tRNAs cope with the degeneracy of the genetic code in two manners: having more than one tRNA (with a specific anti-codon) for a particular amino acid; and 'wobble' base-pairing, i.e. permitting non-standard base-pairing at the 3rd anti-codon position. The record is from RNAcentral. Lineage: Eukaryota; Metazoa; Arthropoda; Insecta; Orthoptera; Acrididae.